CGGUGGAUCAUGUUGUUAAUUCGAUGAUACGCGAAGAACCUUACCAGGUCUUGACAUCCCUUGCAAAGCUAUGGAGACAUAGUGGAGGUUAUCAAGGAGACAGGUGGUGCAUGGUUGUCGUCAGCUCGUGUCGUGAGAUGUUGGGUUAAGUCCCGCAACGAGCGCAACCCUUAUUGCUAGUUACCAUCAUUAAGUUGGGGACUCUAGCGAGACUGCCAGUGAUAAACUGGAGGAAGUGGGGAUGACGUCAAAUCAUCAUGCCCCUUAUGACCUGGGCUACAAACGUGAUACAAUGGCUGAAACAAAGGGCAGCGAAGCAGUGAUGUGGAGCGAAACCCAAAAAGCAGUCUCAGUUCGGAUUGAAGUCUGCAACUCGACUUCAUGAAGUUGGAAUCGCUAGUAAUCGUAGAUCAGAACGCUACGGUGAAUACGUUCUCGGGGUUU
Molecule: ribosomal RNA, 444 nt
Filed under: uncultured Acholeplasma sp.
Lineage: Bacteria; Bacillati; Mycoplasmatota; Mollicutes; Acholeplasmatales; Acholeplasmataceae
Description: bacterial SSU rRNA
Rfam family: Bacterial small subunit ribosomal RNA
Source: RNAcentral